GGGGGCACCCUGAUCCAGCCAUGCCGCGUGCGGGAAGAAGGCCUUCGGGUUGUAAACCGCUUUUAGUCGGGAAGAAAAGGCGCGGGCUAAUACUCCGUGUUCUUGACGGUACCGGCGGAAUAAGCACCGGCUAACUACGUGCCAGCAGCCGCGGUAAUACGUAGGGUGCGAGCGUUAAUCGGAAUUACUGGGCGUAAAGCGUGCGCAGGCGGUUCGUUAAGUCAGAUGUGAAAGCCCCGGGCUCAACCUGGGAACGGCAUUUGAGACUGGCGGGCUGGAGUUGGGCAGAGGGA
This 293-nucleotide ribosomal RNA is filed under the name uncultured bacterium. RNAcentral describes it as "partial 16S ribosomal RNA". It matches the Rfam family "Bacterial small subunit ribosomal RNA", at positions 374 to 659 of the family's 1533-position model. The record is from RNAcentral.